GCGAUAAACAAUAACAAUUAUUAUUGGCACAAAUAGUCACAUCACUGCUGAGUAACGAAUGUACCAAGAUAAGAAGUCAAGCUGUAAUUUCAGUCCUGCUAUCUUUCCAAAGAACAUGCAGCCAAGAUAACCUUACCAUUCAGCACGAUAGCCUCCUGCAAAAGCUGGGGCAGGGAGUGUUCUCACUGGGGAGGCCUCCUUUGCUCACAGGAGGUGCAAAAACAGGCAGUAAGAAGACCUACUUCAAGUCCAGGCUCCACUAACAACCAGAUUCAAAAAGAGAAUUCAUCACUUUCAAACUACUGGUUCAGGGAGUCACUGGAGGUAUGGACCUAAUGCUUACAACUUGGAAGCGCCAGAAAGAAAGUACAGAAGAUGCAGUGGUCAGCCCCCCACUGAUCCCAAGGACUCAAGCCAUUCACCCAAUAGAGUUUGCCCUUGUGCUCAUGAUGAAUCAUGGAACCAUCACCCUUGAAUGUGCUAUAAUUUUAAUUUUAAAGAAAUGCCCAAAGGACCAUUCAUCUCUUAGAGCACUCUUUCUUACCCACACCAUGAAGCAGUUGAUUUCUUUAUGUUCCGAUGAGUAGCCAACCUAUAAACAGGAACAUCAAGCUCUGUGAUGUCUUUUUUGCCGAGGAAUAGUGGCG
Molecule: long non-coding RNA, 647 nt
Organism: Bos taurus (domestic cattle)
Lineage: Eukaryota; Metazoa; Chordata; Mammalia; Artiodactyla; Bovidae
Source: Ensembl